Molecule: long non-coding RNA, 2161 nt
Filed under: Monodelphis domestica (gray short-tailed opossum)
Lineage: Eukaryota; Metazoa; Chordata; Mammalia; Didelphimorphia; Didelphidae
Description: lncRNA (ENSMODG00000043823.1)
Source: RNAcentral
AGGGAUCAGUGGCCAAGAUUUGGGCCAGAGCCAGGCCAGCUGCUUCCCUGAGAGUAGACAGCCCCAUGGAUGCAGGACAGGCAAUCUGGCUUGAUCUCUUCACUCUCCUUGUCAAGUGUAAAUGUCACUACGUGUCCUGCCAGAUAUGUGGAGAUGGCUGCGUGUUCUCAGAAAGUUUCCGGUUUCUCCCUCUUUGAGCAAGCAUUUCUCAUUCUUUCCAGCUUCCAUCCAGUCACAGGCUUGUGGAAGGCACUGCACACCUCGUCAAGCAAAGGAAAGUGUGCCCAUUGAUAAAUUAACCUUCCAAUGAAGUCAAAAGCGGGAGGAAAUAUUUCAGCAUAAUGCAAUGCACAAAUUUGCUGUUGUGUACCCUUGGUUUUUAAAGAGGAGCAAUGACAUCACCAGACUGGAUUUAAGUGGGGCAGAGUUGCACAAAGUCAUCAGCCUCAUUCUCUUUCCCAGAAUCAUCAAAAUCCAGUGGUAAGACUAAAACCAAGAGGACCAGUGACAGCCUGGGAUGCAGUAGAUGAACUUUGUGUUUUUAUACCUGACUAAGUUCUAAGAGCGCCACAACUCCUACUUCAGUCACCUUCAUGGCCAUUUGAGCAAAUUGUUUUAUGCCCUCAUUCUGCUGUGGGAAGUCUUUGGAUGCUUAGACAUGCCCUUAACUCAUGAUGAGUUUGAGGUGUGUUGGCUACAUACAGCCUGGUUUAGCCUGCCAAGAUGGUAUACUGAAGUAUGGCCAUUGUCCAUACUACAGUUUCAUAGAGCCACAAAUGAAAGAUGGAUGAAAGGUAGAUGAGCACCCCUGAAAAAGAGUUUAACAAGCCUUCACACUGGAGGUGCUAAUUCUUCCUGGUCCUGUCCUACAACCCCAUACUGCAUACUCUGAAAAGGAAAGCUCCUGACGCCAUCUUUGCCAAUUUCUGCUCUUCUUUCCCAGCCAUACUCAAUGGAAAUAUACCAUAUCAUAUUUGACAAAUCUUAUCAUUCCAUGUGAAGUCUCCCAGGCAGACUUAUUCUGAGGCAAUAUGUAAUUUUGCACACGGGAUAUCACUACUUUCCCUUCUUAUCCAAACUUCUUUAUAGUCUCCUUUGAUUUGGCUUUGGAGCUCUGGCUCUGCCUGCAAGGCACAACCUAAUGUGGUUGAGAUCCCAGUGCAGUGUUUAUUAUGAAGAAAUUUAGAUCUCAGCACUAGGCAGGGAAGCCUGAAUCUUAUCCUCAGUGAUGAGACUGAUAAUUACCAUGGAGAAUAAGGAAUGGCUGACUCUGUAUGCAUUCUGCCCCUAUAAAAAAUCUGGAUUGCCAGCCAUUGCUCCAGUGCUCUCUAAGGAGGUGGCACCCCUAGCUUGCUUAUCAUUUUUUGGGCUAAUGUAAAAUUUCUUUCCCAUUGCUGACAAUUACACCAGAGAAAUUAAAAGGAAAGUCAGUGAAUAAUGCUUCAAUUUGUCAGCUGAAGGCUCUCCCCUUUAAGAUCCCCUUUUAUCUGGGCCCACUCUUACUUGUUCUAUCUGUUGCCUGGAUCUACUUUACUUUACUCCUUCAUAUUCUAAUGCAAAGUUCCCUACAAUACCCACAUUCUCUGACUCCUGAGAACAGACUAAUUGAGAGGGUGUGCUGUAUUACAAAAUACGAUUUGCCUAAAAAGGAGAUUACCAUCUAGCUCAUUAAUUUUACAUUACCAUACUGUGCUUCUAUUGAUGUUAUCACAAUGCUUUCUACAGCUCCUCACUGCGAUUGCAAAAAUACACAGAUUGUGCAGUCAUUAGUAAGACUAAAUGAUUUUUUUUUGAGUGAUGUGAGAAAAAGAAAAACUUUUCAAGAUCAUUUUCUCUGGCUUGAGUAAAGGGUUCUCUGACUACAAGAUUUGUUUACAUGUAAACAGUCAUGUAAAAUAUUCAGAGAAGAGUUGGAUGUAAGUGGUUAUAACUCUUUUACUCCUCCUAGCCUCAUUCCUUCCAUGUUGCCAUCAAUGAAAAAUCUUCUCUUCCUUCAAGGUCCAGUUCUCUAUCUCCCCUCCUCUUAUCUCUAUCCCAACAAAUCUUCCUCCUUAUCCUUCCUAUAGCAUAUGGUCUAGACCUCUCUUUGACACUUUCCACAUCAUCCCUUCUACAGUACUUGGUUGUAUUUCCCCAAUAAAUUGUAAGCAACCUGAGAGCA